GACAGAGGCCCCAAGCGUUAGGCGGAAUCACUGGGCUUAAAGCGUGUGUAGGCGGAUCGUUAAGUGUCUUGUGAAAUCCCACGGCUCACCCGUGGAACUGCUGGGCAUACUGGCGAUCUUGGGCCAACUAGGGGCAGUCGGAACAAGCGGUGGAGCGGUGAAAUGCGUAGAUAUCGCUUGGAACGCCGAAGGUGAAAACAGACCGCUGGGGUUGCGCCGACGCUGAGACACGAAAGCCAGGGGAGCAAACGGG
RNAcentral lists this ribosomal RNA (253 nucleotides) under uncultured bacterium. Its description in RNAcentral is "partial 16S ribosomal RNA". It matches the Rfam family "Bacterial small subunit ribosomal RNA", at positions 524 to 776 of the family's 1533-position model. The record is from RNAcentral.